This 622-nucleotide long non-coding RNA is filed under the name Gossypium barbadense (sea-island cotton). RNAcentral describes it as "long non-coding RNA (GBAR_LNC001796)". Lineage: Eukaryota; Viridiplantae; Streptophyta; Magnoliopsida; Malvales; Malvaceae. The record is from RNAcentral.
ACGGGAAAACCUUCAUUGCUGAGAAGAUCCAGAUGCAGCAGCAGAUGGGACGGGCACUGGUGGUGGUGGUGGUGGUGGCGGGGCAGAACCUGAUGAAGUAGAUGCUGGUGGUGGUUGCACGCUUGUUGAAGCUGGUCCACUCACAGGUGGUGGAGGUCUUGAUGGUCCAGAGUGUUGAUAAUGUUGAGGUGGGCCUCGAGGUGGAGGCAUUGCUGAAUGGUAUGGUGGAUACUGUUGAUAAGGUGGCAUUGGUUGCAUGUACCCGUAUGGCGGAUAAUGUUGAUGAGGAUAUUGUCCAGGUGGAGGCGGCGGCAUACCUUGGUAAGAAUAGUGUUGUGCUUGUUGUUUAUCUGACCCAGGUUUGUUCUCCCCAUCCUUAGACGGAACCAGAGCACCCAUUCUUUGAGGGUCCAUUGAUGGAUAGUAGGCUCUAUCUAUCUGAGGUGGAGGUGGGAUAUUAAAGUACUGCAUAGGUGGUGGUUGGUCGUGCAUGCCAGGUCCAGAUGGCUGGAAUUGAUUCUGCUGCUGAGAUAUUACUGCCCGGGGCAACAUUCCGCUAUGAGCCACUGCUGCUUGCUGCCUGGAUCCAUCGGAGGUUUCUGACUCAGGCCUUGGAGCUUGG